This 661-nucleotide ribosomal RNA is filed under the name Enterobacter sp. 6hR30. RNAcentral's name for it is "bacterial SSU rRNA". It matches the Rfam family "Bacterial small subunit ribosomal RNA", at positions 79 to 734 of the family's 1533-position model. The record is from RNAcentral. Lineage: Bacteria; Pseudomonadati; Pseudomonadota; Gammaproteobacteria; Enterobacterales; Enterobacteriaceae.
UUUGCUCUCGGGUGACGAGCGGGGGACGGGUGAGUAAUGUCUGGGAAACUGCCUGAUGGAGGGGGAUAACUACUGGAAACGGUAGCUAAUACCGCAUAACGUCGCAAGACCAAAGAGGGGGACCUUCGGGCCUCUUGCCAUCAGAUGUGCCCAGAUGGGAUUAGCUAGUAGGUGGGGUAACGGCUCACCUAGGCGACGAUCCCUAGCUGGUCUGAGAGGAUGACCAGCCACACUGGAACUGAGACACGGUCCAGACUCCUACGGGAGGCAGCAGUGGGGAAUAUUGCACAAUGGGCGCAAGCCUGAUGCAGCCAUGCCGCGUGUAUGAAGAAGGCCUUCGGGUUGUAAAGUACUUUCAGCGAGGAGGAAGGCAUUGAGGUUAAUAACCUUAGUGAUUGACGUUACUCGCAGAAGAAGCACCGGCUAACUCCGUGCCAGCAGCCGCGGUAAUACGGAGGGUGCAAGCGUUAAUCGGAAUUACUGGGCGUAAAGCGCACGCAGGCGGUCUGUCAAGUCGGAUGUGAAAUCCCCGGGCUCAACCUGGGAACUGCAUUCGAAACUGGCAGGCUAGAGUCUUGUAGAGGGGGGUAGAAUUCCAGGUGUAGCGGUGAAAUGCGUAGAGAUCUGGAGGAAUACCGGUGGCGAAGGCGGCCCCCCUGGA